This 567-nucleotide ribosomal RNA is filed under the name uncultured bacterium. RNAcentral describes it as "bacterial SSU rRNA". It matches the Rfam family "Bacterial small subunit ribosomal RNA", at positions 878 to 1445 of the family's 1533-position model. The record is from RNAcentral.
GAGUACGGCCGCAAGGCUAAAACUCAAAGGAAUUGACGGGGGCCCGCACAAGCGGCGGAGCAUGCGGAUUAAUUCGAUGCAACGCGAAGAACCUUACCAAGGCUUGACAUAUACCUGCAAAGGCUGGAAACAGUCUCCUCGCAAGACAGGUAUACAGGUGGUGCAUGGUUGUCGUCAGCUCGUGUCGUGAGAUGUUGGGUUAAGUCCCGCAACGAGCGCAACCCUCGUUCUAUGUUGCCAGCGCGUGAUGGCGGGAACUCAUAGGAGACUGCCGGGGUCAACUCGGAGGAAGGUGGGGAUGACGUCAAAUCAUCAUGCCCCUUAUGUCUUGGGCUUCACGCAUGCUACAAUGGCCGGUACAAAGGGCUGCAAUACCGUAAGGUGGAGCGAAUCCCAAAAAGCCGGUCUCAGUUCGGAUUGAGGUCUGCAACUCGACCUCAUGAAGUCGGAGUCGCUAGUAGUCGCAGAUCAGCAACGCUGCGGUGAAUACGUUCCCGGGCCUUGUACACACCGCCCGUCAAGUCAUGAAAGUCGGUAACACCCGAAGCCGGUGGCCCAACCCUUGUG